RNAcentral lists this RNase P RNA (372 nucleotides) under Minisyncoccota bacterium. Its description in RNAcentral is "RNase P RNA component class A". It matches the Rfam family "Bacterial RNase P class A". Rfam says of the family: Ribonuclease P (RNase P) is a ubiquitous endoribonuclease, found in archaea, bacteria and eukarya as well as chloroplasts and mitochondria. Its best characterised activity is the generation of mature 5'-ends of tRNAs by cleaving the 5'-leader elements of precursor-tRNAs. Cellular RNase Ps are ribonucleoproteins. Lineage: Bacteria; Bacillati; Minisyncoccota. The record is from RNAcentral.
GUUCUGCACAAGGCAGCCGCCCGCCUUUACGGCGGGAGGAAAGUCCGGACACGCGCGCAUUCUUAGAAUGUGCAGCAAGGUAGUGGGUAACGCCCGCCGUCCGCGAGGAUAGGGAUGCGAACAGAGACGCCCGACUCGAGAGAGGAGGGGAUCCAUGCCUCUGCCGUCAGGCAGGCCGCAAGGAUCAGCUCGUGCGGAAACGCAUGAGGUGCAACGGCUAAAAUCCUACCCGCGUGCAAGGCCGUGCUUGUUUCAACCACGCGUGGAAACAAGAGUGCUGCUCGAGGUGAUCGGCAACGAUCAUCCCAGAUACAUGGUUGCCAGCCUCGCAUCGCGAGGUGACAGAAUCCGGCUUAUUCGUGCAGUAGAAAU